This 1143-nucleotide ribosomal RNA is filed under the name Legionella pneumophila. RNAcentral describes it as "partial 23S ribosomal RNA". It matches the Rfam family "Bacterial large subunit ribosomal RNA", at positions 603 to 1744 of the family's 2925-position model. Lineage: Bacteria; Pseudomonadati; Pseudomonadota; Gammaproteobacteria; Legionellales; Legionellaceae. The record is from RNAcentral.
ACCUUUUGUAUAAUGGGUCAGCGAGUUACUUUCAGUGGCGAGGUUAACUGAAUAAGGGAGCCGUAGAGAAAUCGAGUCUGAAUAGGGCGAUAGUCGCUGGGAGUAGACCCGAAACCGGGCGAUCUAGCCAUGUGCAGGAUGAAGGUUGGGUAACACCAACUGGAGGUCCGAACCGGGUAAUGUUGAAAAAUUAUCGGAUGACGUGUGGCUAGGAGUGAAAGGCUAAUCAAGCCCGGAGAUAGCUGGUUCUCCCCGAAAGCUAUUUAGGUAGCGCCUCGUGAAUGAUUACUGGGGGUAGAGCACUGUUUCGGCUAGGGGGCUGUCAUGGCUUACCAAACCGAUGCAAACUCCGAAUACCGGCUAAUUGAAUCACGGGAGACACACGGCGGGUGCUAACGUCCGUCGUGGAGAGGGAAACAACCCAGACCGCCAGCUAAGGUCCCCAAGUACUAGUUAAGUGGGAAACGAUGUGGGAAGGCAUAGACAGCCAGGAGGUUGGCUUAGAAGCAGCCACCCUUUAAAGAAAGCGUAAUAGCUCACUGGUCGAGUCGGCCUGCGCGGAAGAUGUAACGGGGCUAAAACUAGUCACCGAAGCUGCGGAUGUGCGCGAAGGCGCACGUGGUAGGGGAGCGUUCUGUAGGCUGAUGAAGGUGCAUUGAGAAGUGUGCUGGAGGUAUCAGAAGUGCGAAUGCUGACAUGAGUAACGAUAAUGUGGGUGAAAAGCCCACACGCCGGAAGUCCCAGGUUUCCUGCACGACGUUAAUCGGAGCAGGGUGAGUCGGCCCCUAAGGCGAGGCUGAAGAGCGUAGUCGAUGGGAACCAGGUUAAUAUUCCUGGACUUUUUAUAAGUGGUGAAGUGGGGACGAAGAAGGCUAGGUGAGCCAGGCGUUGGUUGUCCUGGUACUUGCAUGUAGGGGGGAAGACUUGGCAAAUCCGGUUUUCCAUAACUCUGAGGUGCGAAGUGGUUCUGACCUUUUGGUACAGAGAAGUCAUUGAUGCCCGGCUUCCAGGAAAAGCUGCUAGCCAUAACUUAUAGAGAACCGUACCGCAAACCGACACAGGUGGACAGGUAGAGAAUACUAAGGCGCUUGAGAGAACUCGGGUGAAGGAACUAGGCAAAAUGGUACCGUAACUUCGGGAGAA